Molecule: ribosomal RNA, 1175 nt
Filed under: uncultured Rozellomycota
Lineage: Eukaryota; Fungi; Rozellomycota
Description: SSU rRNA
Rfam family: Eukaryotic small subunit ribosomal RNA
Source: RNAcentral
UAAAUAACAAUGCAGGGCCCUUCGGGUCUUGCAAUUGGAAUGAGUACAAUUUAAACCCUUAACGAGGAACAAUUGGAGGGCAAGUCUGGUGCCAGCAGCCGCGGUAAUUCCAGCUCCAAUAGCGUAUAUUAAAGUUGUUGCAGUUAAAAAGCUCGUAGUUGGACCUUGGGCGUGGGGGCCGGGUUGGCCGCAAGGCACGACUCGGAACUCUUGCCUCUUUGGGGACUCGCCGUUCUGCGGCGAGGUAACCCGGGUUACUGUGAAGAAAUUAGAGUGUUUAAAGCAGGCGUUUGCUUGAAUACAUCAGCAUGGAAUAACAAGAUAGGACUUUGUUCCACUUGUUGGUUUGGGAAGAAUAGUAAUGAUUAAUAGGGCCAGUUGGGGGCAUUAGUAUUCAGUAGUCAGAGGUGAAAUUCUUGGAUUUACUGAAGACUAACUAGUGCGAAAGCAUUUGCCAAGGAUGUUUUCAUUAAUCAAGAACGAAAGUUAGGGGAUCGAAGACGAUCAGAUACCGUCGUAGUCUUAACUAUAAACGAUGCCGACUCGGGAUCGGCAGAAGUCGUUUGCGACUCUGUCGGCACCGUGUGAGAAAUCAAAGUUUUUGGGUUCUGGGGGGAGUAUGGUCGCAAGGCUGAAACUUAAAGGAAUUGACGGAAGGGCACCACCAGGAGUGGAGCCUGCGGCUUAAUUUGACUCAACACGGGAAAACUCACCAGGUCCGGACAUAGUAAGGAUUGACAGAUUGAGAGCUCUUUCUUGAUUCUGUGGGUGGUGGUGCAUGGCCGUUCUUAGUUGGUGGAGUGAUUUGUCUGGUUAAUUCCGAUAACGAACGAGACCUUAACCUGCUAACUAGUUGGCGGUAUGAGAAUACUGUUCGCUUCUUAGAGGGACUGACUAUGUUUAAUAGUCGGAAGUUUGAGGCAAUAACAGGUCUGUGAUGCCCUUAGAUGUUCUGGGCUGCACGCGCGCUACACUGACAGAGCCAGCGAGUACACCUUGGCCGAGAGGUCUGGGAAAUCUUGUGAAACUCUGUCGUGCUGGGGAUAGAUCAUUGCAAUUAUUGGUCUUGAACGAGGAAUUCCUAGUAAGCGCAAGUCAUCAGCUUGCGUUGAUUACGUCCCUGCCCUUUGUACACACCGCCCGUCGCUACUACCGAUUGAAUGGCUUAGUGAGGC